RNAcentral lists this ribosomal RNA (264 nucleotides) under uncultured Desulfosporosinus sp. Its description in RNAcentral is "partial 16S ribosomal RNA". It matches the Rfam family "Bacterial small subunit ribosomal RNA", at positions 234 to 489 of the family's 1533-position model. The record is from RNAcentral. Lineage: Bacteria; Bacillati; Bacillota; Clostridia; Eubacteriales; Desulfitobacteriaceae.
CGUCUGAUUAGCUAGUUGGUGGGGUAAAGGCCUACCAAGGCGACGAUCAGUAGCCGGCCUGAGAGGGUGAACGGCCACACUGGGACUGAGACACGGCCCAGACUCCUACGGGAGGCAGCAGUGGGGAAUCUUCCGCAAUGGACGAAAGUCUGACGGAGCAACGCCGCGUGUAUGAUGAAGGUCUUCGGAUUGUAAAGUACUGUCUUUGGGGAAGAACGGUAGCAUUGAGAAUAUUGAGUUCACAUGACGGUACCCAAGGAGGAA